Molecule: transfer RNA, 77 nt
Filed under: Dethiosulfatarculus sandiegensis
Lineage: Bacteria; Pseudomonadati; Thermodesulfobacteriota; Desulfarculia; Desulfarculales; Desulfarculaceae
Description: tRNA-Arg
Rfam family: tRNA
About the family: Transfer RNA (tRNA) molecules are approximately 80 nucleotides in length.
Source: RNAcentral
GGGCGAUUAGCUCAGUUGGAUAGAGCGUUGGCCUCCGGAGCCAAAGGCCGUGAGUUCGAAUCUCGCAUCGCCCACCA